Molecule: small RNA, 1304 nt
Filed under: uncultured bacterium
Lineage: Bacteria
Description: bacterial SSU rRNA
Rfam family: Bacterial small subunit ribosomal RNA (bases 1-480)
Source: RNAcentral
AUGGCUGUCGUCAGCUCGUGCCGUGAGGUGUCAGGUUAAGUCCUAUAACGAGCGCAACCCCUGUUGUUAGUUGCCAUCGAGUAAUGUCGGGAACUCUAACAAGACUGCCAGUGCAAACUGUGAGGAAGGUGGGGAUGACGUCAAAUCAUCACGGCCCUUACGUCCUGGGCCACACACGUGCUACAAUGGUAGGUACAGAGAGCAGCCACGUCGCAAGGCGGAGCGAAUCUAUAAAACCUAUCACAGUUCGGAUCGGGGUCUGCAACUCGACCCCGUGAAGCUGGAAUCGCUAGUAAUCGCAUAUCAGCCAUGAUGCGGUGAAUACGUUCCCGGGCCUUGUACACACCGCCCGUCAAGCCAUGGAAGCUGGGGGUACCUGAAGUCCGUCACCGCAAGGAGCGGCCUAGGGUAAAACCGGUAACUGGGGCUAAGUCGUAACAAGGUAGCCGUACCGGAAGGUGCGGCUGGAACACCUCCUUUCUAGAGCUUCUCUACCCAAUGGGUAGAAAAGACGCGACUAUAAGGAAAGAAAAGUUCGAAUACUUAUUUUAGUUUUUAAUGUUGUUGAUUCAAGAUAUUUUUCGAUUGAUGGCUCACUUUAAGUAGUGAGUCAUUCGAUUGAUAAAUAAAGGACAGUCUCAUAGCUCAGCUGGUUAGAGCGCUACACUGAUAAUGUAGAGGUCGGCAGUUCGAGUCUGCCUGAGACUACUGUGUGCUAAGGCACAUAUAUGUUUUAGGUUAUAAGCUUGAGGCAUUUAGUUCAUAAAAAAAGAUAUUGAAGGAAAUUUUAGAGGUUGAGUAGCCGUUAUAAGUACUGUUAACUAAUAACUGUUAACUAACUUUUAAAUAAUGGGGGAUUAGCUCAGCUGGCUAGAGCGCCUGCCUUGCACGCAGGAGGUCAUCGGUUCGACUCCGAUAUUCUCCACAGGGCGAUGCCCUGAGAUAGACAAGUUCUAUUUCAUUGUGUAUCGCGGCUGAGAAAUCAUUGGCAAUUUAUUGUCAGUGGCGACUCGCCACACGUUCAUUGACAUAUUGGGAAAUAAUAAGAAUACGAGAGAAACAAAUUUUUAGUUAGCUAGUAAUAGUUAAUUAUAUAUUAUAGAUAGAACUCAUUAGAAUAAAGAAUACAAAGGCUUGGUAGCAAUACCUAGUCCUUAUAAGAGCAAGAAGUACAAUAAGCUAAAUAAGGGCGUAUGGGGAAUGCCUAGGCUCUCAGAGGCGAUGAAGGACGUGAUAAGCUGCGAAAAGCUGCGGGGAUUGGCACAUACAAAUUGAUCCGCAGAUAUCCGAAUGGGGAAACCCGG